RNAcentral lists this ribosomal RNA (460 nucleotides) under uncultured bacterium. Its description in RNAcentral is "partial 16S ribosomal RNA". It matches the Rfam family "Bacterial small subunit ribosomal RNA", at positions 338 to 795 of the family's 1533-position model. The record is from RNAcentral.
CCUACGGGAGGCAGCAGUGAGGAAUAUUGGUCAAUGGGCGGAAGCCUGAACCAGCCCAGUCGCGUGAGGGAAUAAGGCCCUACGGGUCGUAAACCUCUUUUGCGGGGGAGCAAGGGCGGGGACGUGUCCCGGUCUGGAGAGUACACGGAGAAAAAGCAUCGGCUAACCCCGUGCCAGCAGCAGCGGUAAUACGGAGGAUCCGAGCGUAUUCCGAUUUUAUUGGGUUUAAAGGGUGCGUAGCCGGGCUUUUAAGUCGACGGUAAAAAUUUGGGGCUCACCCCCGGACGGCCGUGGGAACUGGGGACCUUGAGUGGGCGGGAGGAAGGCGGAAUGCGUGGUGUAGCGGUGAAAUGCAUAGAUAGCACGCAGAACCCCGAUUGCGAAGGCAGCCUUCCGGAGCCCUACUGACGCUGAGGCACGAAAGUGCGGGGAUCGAACAGGAUUAGAGACCCUUGUAGUC